GUGGCUUCCGGAGCUAACGCGUUAAGUAGACCGCCUGGGGAGUACGGCCGCAAGGUUAAAACUCAAAUGAAUUGACGGGGGCCCGCACAAGCGGUGGAGCAUGUGGUUUAAUUCGAUGCAACGCGAAGAACCUUACCUGGUCUUGACAUCCACGGAAGAAUUCAGAGAUGGAUUUGUGCCUUCGGGAACCGUGAGACAGGUGCUGCAUGGCUGUCGUCAGCUCGUGUUGUGAAAUGUUGGGUUAAGUCCCGCAACGAGCGCAACCCUUAUCCUUUGUUGCCAGCGAUUAGGUCGGGAACUCAAAGGAGACUGCCAGUGAUAAACUGGAGGAAGGUGGGGAUGACGUCAAGUCAUCAUGGCCCUUACGACCAGGGCUACACACGUGCUACAAUGGCGCAUACAAAGAGAAGCGACCUCGCGAGAGCAAGCGGACCUCAUAAAGUGCGUCGUAGUCCGGAUUGGAGUCUGCAACUCGACUCCAUGAAGUCGGAAUCGCUAGUAAUCGUGGAUCAGAAUGCCACGGUGAAUACGUUCCCGGGCCUUGUACACACCGCCCGUCACACCAUGGGAGUGGGUUGCAAAAGAAGUAGGUAGCUUAACCUUCGGGAGGGCGCUUACCACUUUGUGAUUCAUGACUGGGGUGAAGUCGUAACAAGGUAACCGUAGGGGAACCUGC
Molecule: ribosomal RNA, 676 nt
Filed under: Salmonella enterica subsp. enterica serovar Mbandaka
Lineage: Bacteria; Pseudomonadati; Pseudomonadota; Gammaproteobacteria; Enterobacterales; Enterobacteriaceae
Description: bacterial SSU rRNA
Rfam family: Bacterial small subunit ribosomal RNA
Source: RNAcentral